GUCCUGGUGAACAACAAGAUCUCCAAGAUCCACGAGAAGGCCUUCAGCCCACUGCGGAAGCUGCAGAAGCUCUACAUCUCCAAGAACCACCUGGUGGAGAUCCCGCCCAACCUACCCAGCUCCCUGGUGGAGCUCCGCAUCCACGACAACCGCAUCCGCAAGGUGCCCAAGGGCGUGUUCAGCGGGCUCCGGAACAUGAACUGCAUCGAGAUGGGCGGGAACCCACUGGAGAACAGUGGCUUUGAACCUGGAGCCUUUGAUGGCCUGAAGCUCAACUACCUGCGCAUCUCAGAGCUGCCCCUGCUCUCCCACCACAGCCACCCAGAGGCACCCCAUGAAGCUUUUUUCUCAUUCACUCCCAAACCCAAGUGUCCAAGGCUCCAGUCCUAGGAGAACAGUCCCUGGGUCAGCAGCCAGGAG
RNAcentral lists this small RNA (420 nucleotides) under Pan troglodytes (chimpanzee). RNAcentral describes it as "processed transcript". Lineage: Eukaryota; Metazoa; Chordata; Mammalia; Primates; Hominidae. The record is from RNAcentral.